GACGAAGGAUGCAAGCGUUAUCCGGAUUCAUUGGGUUUAAAGGGAGCGUAGGCGGUCUUAUAAGUCAGUGGUGAAAUCUCCUCGCUUAACGAGGAAACUGCCAUUGAUACUGUAGGACUUGAGUAUAGUUGCUGUGGGCGGAAUAUGACAUGUAGUGGUGAAAUACUUAGAGAUGUCAUAGAACACCGAUUGCGAAGGCAGCUCACAAAACUAUAACUGACGCUGAGGCUCGAAAGUGCGGGGAUCAAACAGGAUUAGAUACCCUGGUAGUCCGCACUGUAAACGAUGAUUACUCGUUGCUGGGGAGCAAUUUUCAGUGACUAAGCGAAAGCGAUAAGUAAUCCACCUGGGGAGUACGCCGGCAACGGUGAA
This 372-nucleotide ribosomal RNA is filed under the name uncultured bacterium. Its description in RNAcentral is "bacterial SSU rRNA". It matches the Rfam family "Bacterial small subunit ribosomal RNA", at positions 524 to 898 of the family's 1533-position model. The record is from RNAcentral.